UCAUGUAAUGCACAUGUAUGGCACAUAAAUUGAAAUCAUUAGAAAGGGCUGCAGAGUGAUGAGAAUUGGGCCCCUUAACUUUUCAUAUUUACCAAGAGGUAACAACAAACUCACUCUUCCUCACCUGUCACACCCAAGUAAGCAUAAGAAACUUGGAUGCAUUAUUUGAGGGUCUUGUAGCCAUAAAUUGAGAUAAGAAUGAGCAGGUAAAGAGGGUUGGUUCAUGGCUGGUAGGUUACCUGGAGUUGGUUUGCUUGCAAGAAAGAGAACAGAGAGCCACCAUAGACAUGAAAAUCGACACAACUAUUACCUAAAGGAAUCACUCCACCCACCUUGGACUCCCACUGUCUUAGAUGAAACUGCCCUCAAGGCCAGGCAGAGGCUUCACCAGA
RNAcentral lists this long non-coding RNA (392 nucleotides) under Phaseolus vulgaris (common bean). Its description in RNAcentral is "long non-coding RNA (PVUL_LNC002015)". Lineage: Eukaryota; Viridiplantae; Streptophyta; Magnoliopsida; Fabales; Fabaceae. The record is from RNAcentral.